RNAcentral lists this unclassified non-coding RNA (2078 nucleotides) under Hevea brasiliensis (rubber tree). Lineage: Eukaryota; Viridiplantae; Streptophyta; Magnoliopsida; Malpighiales; Euphorbiaceae. The record is from RNAcentral.
UUUUAGUUCUUUCCAAUCUUUAUGAGUUAUAUUGAAAAAGAAGAAACAUUACACUGCAAGACAACUGCUCAAUAUAUAAGACACACAAGUAUUUAUUUUUCUCACUGUAUAAUUCACAAGGUUUACAUACAAAAGUGAUCUCCUUCCCAGUGCCUAGUUGCAACCUAGUGAGUAAUGGCUACUGUUAAAACUUCCAAGAGACUAGGAAAUUGUCUAUGUUUGAGAAAGAACUUACUUGGGUAAGUGUGUUACACUUGCAACUAGUGGUUACAGGGACUUUGGUGGUCUGGAAGCACCAGCACAUUAUUACAUGUUACAACAAUGACAUACAGAUAUUACAGAAUCAAAAAUGACAAACUUUUGAUUGGAAAAGAAAAUGUUUGUGAUUUAAAGUCAGGAUGACCCUCAAUGUAAGUACUGCACAUGUUAAAGCAGGCCAACUAUUCUUCAUCUUCAGAAGAGUGAUAAAACUCGUUUUGGAGACGUCAAGCUUGCCACGCACUUGAACUUCUCUUGUCUAUACUUUUCACGUAUAGCAUUUAGGGAGCAACCAUUAGUGUUCAGCUGCAAAUCUUCAAGUGCAAGUACUGUAGUUUUCAGUUCUGAUGGGCUGUAACUUGUAUAGUGCUCUAGAGUUGGACCCCAUGGGUGGUCUGACUGAUCGAGAGUCCACCGAGCAAGGAACACUGAAGAUGCAGCUAUAAGAGAAGGUAGAAACUUUUGGAAGUCAUAUUCAACAAGAGUAAGCUCUGCCAAAUAAUUUGCCAGGAACUCCAGUUCAAUACAAGGAACCUUCAAAGAUGCUUGUGCUGCUUGAAUGAAUCUCCUCAGAAAUGUUUUUGUGGUGGGAACAGAGAUUUGGAAGUACAAGAAAUUCAGAACAUGACUCUCCAUUUUCAAUACCUCUCUUCUUGUGUAAGUAUUGUCAGUGAUGAAGCAAAAUUCUUCAACUCUUGGUGCACAAAUUUCUUCAUACUUUGAAGCAAUUAGCAUGCAAGUAACGCCAAGCAAUUGGAGCCUUUGUUUCUCAAUAUAAUUUUCAGAGAGGAAUCUAUCAAUGAGAUUAACCGUAAGGUAAAGUGUAUCUGGAACAAGUCUAUACUCUUCAGAAACCUCCACAAGCCAAUCAAUCAAAAUUCCUCGCAUGCUUGGAGUGAUAUCAUGCUGCAUUUUUUCCAUGUAAUUGGUCAAAGGUCUAUGGUCAAGCUCUUUAGCCCGUAUGUUGUUAUAUAUUUCAGGGGCAUACAUGCCACAGACUUGAGGAUCUUUUAGAUUUGAAUCAAUGUCCACUAUGCCUGAACCACUUGAGGGGUCCAGCUUCUUGCAAAACCAUUUUUCUUCUUUCUUUUGAGGGAUUCGGAGUCCAGCAGGUUUUGUGAGAGCCAGCAUUGGAAGCACUGGAUCUGCUACAACACCUUCUCUUGCACCACGGUACGUUCUUUGCUGUUUUCCUUCUGUCUUUGUUGGUAAAGUGAUCUCCCGUGCUUCCACCAUUCUUAUUUUUGACAAUUCUUCAGCUAACUUAGCUUUUACAUCCUCUUCACCCUCUGCAAUUUCCAUAGAGAUAUCAGCAGCUACCUCUGCAUUCUUCUUUGUGGGGCAUUUUCUUGCCUGCUUGCUAGUCUGAUCUUUAGUUCCAUUGAUGCAAUUUGCAUAAGAAUUCUCACGAGUUAAAUUAGUCACAUCUUUAAGCACUGCCCUUCUCUUGCACUGAAGGCCAGAAAUCACAGUAACAGAAGCUUUGUUAUCAUCUGAUGCUGUUCUUUUGGUAUUGGCUCUAAGAACACACUUCUGGUCCUUUUUGAAAGAAGGUUUUGAGGCAGGAAGUAAAGUCUCCAAGGCUUUAGCCCGUGCACGAGUCAUUCGAGUACUGGGCUCUUCAACUUUGGCAGCAACUUUAUUUUCUAUAUUCAUAUUUGCUUGCCUUCAGGAAGAGCACUGCAUGAUUCUAAAUUGAAUACCUCUUCAUUGAACUGUGUUCUUGGAAGCUCCUGGGACUUAUCAGUGACAGUCUAGAGAGCUCUACAGACAGUACAGAGAGAAAGGGUGUGAGGGAGAGAGAGAGAGACCGCUUUUAG